GACGAACGCUGGCGGCGUGCCUAAUACAUGCAAGUCGAACGCACUCUCGUUUAGAUUGAAGGAGUUUGCUCCUGAUUGAUAAACAUUUGAGUGAGUGGCGGACGGGUGAGUAACACGUGGGUAACCUGCCCUAAAGUGGGGGAUAACAUUUGGAAACAGAUGCUAAUACCGCAUAAAACCUAACACCGCAUGGUGUAGGGUUGAAAGAUGGUUUCGGCUAUCACUUUAGGAUGGACCCGCGGUGCAUUAGUUAGUUGGUGAGGUAAAGGCUCACCAAGACCGUGAUGCAUAGCCGACCUGAGAGGGUAAUCGGCCACACUGGGACUGAGACACGGCCCAGACUCCUACGGGAGGCAGCAGUAGGGAAUCUUCCACAAUGGACGAAAGUCUGAUGGAGCAACGCCGCGUGAGUGAAGAAGGUCUUCGGAUCGUAAAACUCUGUUGUUGGAGAAGAAUGUAUCUGAUAGUAACUGAUCAGGUAGUGACGGUAUCCAACCAGAAAGCCACGGCUAACUACGUG
Molecule: ribosomal RNA, 520 nt
Filed under: uncultured bacterium
Lineage: Bacteria
Description: partial 16S ribosomal RNA
Rfam family: Bacterial small subunit ribosomal RNA
Source: RNAcentral